Long non-coding RNA from Zea mays, 508 nucleotides. RefSeq lists it as uncharacterized. The transcript is spliced from 4 exons. NCBI's taxonomy places the organism in Eukaryota, Viridiplantae, Streptophyta, Magnoliopsida, Poales, Poaceae. The record is from RefSeq and is a predicted model, not a curated record.
GGCGCGGGCUCGAACAUUCAUAGGUAAAAUUCAUGUUGUCAUGAAACCCACCCUUAAUUUGUGCAGCAUGAAACAGUAUUUUCUCAAUGACCUUGUAGUCUUGAUGUGAAAUUAUGGCAGUAACAUGAUGUACCGACUACUGUCUGCAUUUUUCAGGAGCAUUUGUUAUCUCUAUUCUCUCAUCACCGCUAGACUAACAUUGAGUUGUGUUACUUUGACGAGUUUGAGACUUCUCAGAGCUCAGAUACUCUAAGGAGGAGCAAAUUCCCGUUGAAGAAUUUGAGAGAAGGAAUUUCACCUAUCUACUGAAGUGAGUUUUAUUAGUUUGUUCAAAUGGACCGUGCUGUCAUUUCGGAUGCGGAUACCAAACAAGUUUUUUAAUGCUUGGAGCAACUUUUGUUCAUUCGAUAAUAUUUGAUGAAUUCAACAUCGUGAUGCUUUAGUGCUCUAUCCCUUAUCCCGGGCAUGUGAAAGUGAAAACAGUGAAUACCCGCUCCAUUGGUGGCUA